CCCUAAUACAUGCAAGUCGAACGCGUUGGCCCAAUUGAUUGAUGGUGCUUGCACCUGAUUGAUUUUGGUCGCCAACGAGUGGCGGACGGGUGAGUAACACGUAGGUAACCUGCCCAGAAGCGGGGGACAACAUUUGGAAACAGAUGCUAAUACCGCAUAACAGCGUUGUUCGCAUGAACAACGCUUAAAAGAUGGCUUCUCGCUAUCACUUCUGGAUGGACCUGCGGUGCAUUAGCUUGUUGGUGGGGUAACGGCCUACCAAGGCGAUGAUGCAUAGCCGAGUUGAGAGACUGAUCGGCCACAAUGGGACUGAGACACGGCCCAUACUCCUACGGGAGGCAGCAGUAGGGAAUCUUCCACAAUGGGCGCAAGCCUGAUGGAGCAACACCGCGUGAGUGAAGAAGGGUUUCGGCUCGUAAAGCUCUGUUGUUAAAGAAGAACACGUAUGAGAGUAACUGUUCAUACGUUGACGGUAUUUAACCAGAAAGUCACGGCUAACUACGUGCCAGCAGCCGCGGUAAUACGUAGGUGGCAAGCGUUAUCCGGAUUUAUUGGGCGUAAAGAGAGUGCAGGCGGUUUUCUAAGUCUGAUGUGAAAGCCUUCGGCUUAACCGGAGAAGUGCAUCGGAAACUGGAUAACUUGAGUGCAGAAGAGGGUAGUGGAACUCCAUGUGUAGCGGUGGAAUGCGUAGAUAUAUGGAAGAACACCAGUGGCGAAGGCGGCUACCUGGUCUGCAACUGACGCUGAGACUCGAAAGCAUGGGUAGCGAACAGGAUUAGAUACCCUGGUAGUCCAUGCCGUAAACGAUGAGUGCUAGGUGUUGGAGGGUUUCCGCCCUUCAGUGCCGGAGCUAACGCAUUAAGCACUCCGCCUGGGGAGUACGACCGCAAGGUUGAAACUCAAAGGAAUUGACGGGGGCCCGCACAAGCGGUGGAGCAUGUGGUUUAAUUCGAAGCUACGCGAAGAACCUUACCAGGUCUUGACAUCUUGCGCCAACCCUAGAGAUAGGGCGUUUCCUUCGGGAACGCAAUGACAGGUGGUGCAUGGUCGUCGUCAGCUCGUGUCGUGAGAUGUUGGGUUAAGUCCCGCAACGAGCGCAACCCUUGUUACUAGUUGCCAGCAUUAAGUUGGGCACUCUAGUGAGACUGCCGGUGACAAACCGGAGGAAGGUGGGGACGACGUCAGAUCAUCAUGCCCCUUAUGACCUGGGCUACACACGUGCUACAAUGGACGGUACAACGAGUCGCGAACUCGCGAGGGCAAGCAAAUCUCUUAAAACCGUUCUCAGUUCGGACUGCAGGCUGCAACUCGCCUGCACGAAGUCGGAAUCGCUAGUAAUCGCGGAUCAGCAUGCCGCGGUGAAUACGUUCCCGGGCCUUGUACACACCGCCCGUCACACCAUGAGAGUUUGUAACACCCAAAGUCGGUGGGC
This 1432-nucleotide ribosomal RNA is filed under the name Limosilactobacillus fermentum. RNAcentral describes it as "bacterial SSU rRNA". It matches the Rfam family "Bacterial small subunit ribosomal RNA". The record is from RNAcentral. Lineage: Bacteria; Bacillati; Bacillota; Bacilli; Lactobacillales; Lactobacillaceae.